UGUAAGCGUAUACCAAAGUUGUUGCAGUUAAAACGCUCGUAGUCGGAAUUUGGCAGUUCCGGAUGUGUGCACGUCGUGUGCGCACUUCGCGGGGAUUGCUUUUGUGGUCUUGCGUAGGAUGAGGCACUUUUAUUAGUGAACGUCCUCACGCAACCACUUUUUACUGUGAGAAAAUCAGAGUGCUCAAAGCAGGCAUUUGCCGUGAAUGUAUUAGCAUGGAAUAAUAGAAUAGGACUUGGUUCUAUUUUGUUGGUUUGUUGGGACUGAGUAAUGAUUAAGAGGGACAGUUGGGGGCAUUUGUAUUUCGGUGCUAGAGGUGAAAUUCUUAGAUUACCGAAAGACAAACUGCGGCGAAAGCGUCUGCCAAGGAUGUUUUCAUUGA
Molecule: ribosomal RNA, 382 nt
Filed under: uncultured eukaryote
Lineage: Eukaryota
Description: partial 18S ribosomal RNA
Rfam family: Eukaryotic small subunit ribosomal RNA
Source: RNAcentral